GAUUUGGUUAGGGUUUGGAUUAGGAUUUAGGGUUUGCUUAGGAUUUGUUUAGGGUUCGGUUUAGGAUUUGGAUUAGGGUUUGAUUUAGAAUUUGGAUUAGGGUUUGGAUUAGAGUUUGAUUUAAGGUUUGGUUUAGGGUUUAGGAUUUGGAUUAAGAUUUGGUUAGGGUUUGAUUUAAGGUUUGAUUUAGGGUUUAGGAUUUGAAUUAGGAUUUGGAUUAAGAUUUAGAUUAGGAUUUGGUUAGGGUUUGAUUUAAAGUUUGGUUUAGGAUUUAGGAUUUGGAUUAGAAUUUAGGAUUGGAUUAGGGUUUGGAUUAGGGUUUAGGAUUUGGUUAGGUUUUGAUUUAUGGAUUAGAUUAGGAUUUGGUUAGGAUUUGAUUUAAGGUUUGGUUUAGGGUUAAGGGUUGGAUUGGGGUUUGGUUUAGGAUUUAGGGUUGGAUUGGGGUUUGAUUUAGGGUUUGAUUUAGGAUUGGUUUAGGAUUUAGGGUUUGGAAUAGGGUUUAAUUUAAGAUUUAUUUAGGAUUCGACUUAGGGUUUAGGAAUUAUUAGGGUUUAAGAUUUAAUUAGGUUUGGUCUAAAGUUGAGUGAAAUUCAAUAGGGUUUUAACUAGAAU
This 612-nucleotide long non-coding RNA is filed under the name Physcomitrium patens. RNAcentral describes it as "long non-coding RNA (PPAT_LNC003874)". Lineage: Eukaryota; Viridiplantae; Streptophyta; Bryopsida; Funariales; Funariaceae. The record is from RNAcentral.